GACAGAGGGGGCAAGCGUUGCUCGGAAUCACUGGGCGUAAAGGGCGCGUAGGCGGGAUGGCAAGUCAGUCGUGAAAUCUCUCGGCUCAACCGAGAAACGUCGGCUGAUACUGCCGUUCUUGAGGGAUGCAGAGGAGACUGGAAUCCCCGGUGUAGCGGUGAAAUGUGUAGAGAUCGGGAGGAACACCGGUGGCGAAGGCGGGUCUCUGGGCAUUUCCUGACGCUGAGGCGCGAAAGCGUGGGGAGCAAACGGG
This 253-nucleotide ribosomal RNA is filed under the name uncultured bacterium. RNAcentral's name for it is "partial 16S ribosomal RNA". It matches the Rfam family "Bacterial small subunit ribosomal RNA", at positions 524 to 776 of the family's 1533-position model. The record is from RNAcentral.